CUGGCCGUAAACGAUGGAUACUAGGUGUAGAGGGUAUCGACCCCUUCUGUGCCGCAGUGAACGCAAUAAGUAUCCCGCCUGGGGAGUACGGUCGCAAGACUGAAACUCAAAGGAAUUGACGGGGGCCCGCACAAGCAGUGGAGCAUGUGGUUUAAUUCGACGCAACCCGAAGAACCUUACCAGGUCUUGACAUUUGUAGAAUUGGGCAGAGAUGCUUAAGUGCCUUUCGGGGAACUACAAAACAGGUGG
Molecule: ribosomal RNA, 249 nt
Filed under: uncultured Bacillota bacterium
Lineage: Bacteria; Bacillati; Bacillota
Description: uncultured Firmicutes bacterium partial 16S ribosomal RNA
Rfam family: Bacterial small subunit ribosomal RNA
Source: RNAcentral